Molecule: ribosomal RNA, 2888 nt
Filed under: Vibrio parahaemolyticus VP-NY4
Lineage: Bacteria; Pseudomonadati; Pseudomonadota; Gammaproteobacteria; Vibrionales; Vibrionaceae
Description: bacterial LSU rRNA
Rfam family: Bacterial large subunit ribosomal RNA
Source: RNAcentral
UUAAGUGACUAAGCGUACACGGUGGAUGCCUUGGCAGUCAGAGGCGAUGAAAGACGUAGUAACUUGCGAUAAGCCCAGAUUAGGUAGUAACAACCAUUUGAGUCUGGGAUUUCUGAAUGGGGAAACCCACGUGCAUAAGCACGUAUCCUUACCUGAAUACAUAGGGUAAGGAGGCGAACCGGGGGAACUGAAACAUCUAAGUACCCCGAGGAAAAGAAAUCAACCGAGAUUCCGAAAGUAGCGGCGAGCGAAAUUGGACUAGCCCUUAAGCUUUACACGCGUUAGACGAACGGUCUGGAAAGUCCGACGAUACAGGGUGAUAGUCCCGUAGUUGACGACGUGUGUUCAGUGAAAUCGAGUAGGGCGGGACACGUGAUAUCCUGUCUGAAUAUGGGGGGACCAUCCUCCAAGGCUAAAUACUACUGACUGACCGAUAGUGAACCAGUACCGUGAGGGAAAGGCGAAAAGAACCCCUGUGAGGGGAGUGAAAUAGAACCUGAAACCGUGUACGUACAAGCAGUAGGAGCAGGCUUUGUCCUGUGACUGCGUACCUUUUGUAUAAUGGGUCAGCGACUUAUAUUCAGUGGCAAGGUUAACCAUCUAGGGGAGCCGUAGGGAAACCGAGUCUUAACUGGGCGUUCAGUCUCUGGAUAUAGACCCGAAACCAGGUGAUCUAGCCAUGGGCAGGUUGAAGGUUGAGUAACAUCAACUGGAGGACCGAACCGACUAAUGUUGAAAAAUUAGCGGAUGACUUGUGGCUAGGGGUGAAAGGCCAAUCAAACCUGGAGAUAGCUGGUUCUCCCCGAAAGCUAUUUAGGUAGCGCCUCGGACGAAUACUACUGGGGGUAGAGCACUGUUAAGGCUAGGGGGUCAUCCCGACUUACCAACCCUUUGCAAACUCCGAAUACCAGUAAGUACUAUCCGGGAGACACACGGCGGGUGCUAACGUCCGUCGUGGAGAGGGAAACAACCCAGACCGCCAGCUAAGGUCCCAAAUUACUACUAAGUGGGAAACGAUGUGGGAAGGCUCAGACAGCCAGGAUGUUGGCUUAGAAGCAGCCAUCAUUUAAAGAAAGCGUAAUAGCUCACUGGUCGAGUCGGCCUGCGCGGAAGAUGUAACGGGGCUAAGUAGUAAACCGAAGCUGCGGCAAUGUGCUUUUGCACAUUGGGUAGGGGAGCGUUCUGUAAGCGGUUGAAGGUGUGUGGUAACGCAUGCUGGACGUAUCAGAAGUGCGAAUGCUGACAUGAGUAACGAUAAAGGGGGUGAAAAACCUCCUCGCCGGAAGACCAAGGGUUCCUGUCCAACGUUAAUCGGGGCAGGGUAAGUCGACCCCUAAGGCGAGGCCGAAAGGCGUAGUCGAUGGGAAACGGGUUAAUAUUCCCGUACUUCUUACAAUUGCGAUGGGGGGACGGAGAAGGCUAGGUGGGCCUGGCGACGGUUGUCCAGGUUCAAGUGCGUAGGCUUAAGAGUUAGGUAAAUCCGGCUCUUUUUAAGGCUGAGACACGACGUCGAGCAUCUACGGAUGUGAAGUCAUUGAUGCCAUGCUUCCAGGAAAAGCCUCUAAGCUUCAGAUUGUAAGGAAUCGUACCCCAAACCGACACAGGUGGUCGGGUAGAGAAUACCAAGGCGCUUGAGAGAACUCGGGUGAAGGAACUAGGCAAAAUGGUACCGUAACUUCGGGAGAAGGUACGCUCUCGACGGUGAAGUCCCUCGCGGAUGGAGCUAUUGAGAGUCGCAGAUACCAGGUGGCUGCAACUGUUUAUUAAAAACACAGCACUGUGCAAAAUCGUAAGAUGACGUAUACGGUGUGACGCCUGCCCGGUGCCGGAAGGUUAAUUGAUGGGGUUAGACUUCGGUCGAAGCUCUUGAUCGAAGCCCGGUAAACGGCGGCCGUAACUAUAACGGUCCUAAGGUAGCGAAAUUCCUUGUCGGGUAAGUUCCGACCUGCACGAAUGGCGUAAUGAUGGCCACGCUGUCUCCACCCGAGACUCAGUGAAAUUGAAAUCGCUGUGAAGAUGCAGUGUACCCGCGGCUAGACGGAAAGACCCCGUGAACCUUUACUACAGCUUGGCACUGAACAUUGACCCUACAUGUGUAGGAUAGGUGGGAGGCUUUGAAGCACGUACGCCAGUAUGUGUGGAGCCGUCCUUGAAAUACCACCCUUGUAGUGUUGAUGUUCUAACGUCGACCCCUUAUCGGGGUUGCGGACAGUGCCUGGUGGGUAGUUUGACUGGGGCGGUCUCCUCCCAAAGAGUAACGGAGGAGCACGAAGGUGGGCUAAUCACGGUUGGACAUCGUGAGGUUAGUGCAAUGGCAUAAGCCCGCUUGACUGCGAGAAUGACAAUUCGAGCAGGUGCGAAAGCAGGUCAUAGUGAUCCGGUGGUUCUGAAUGGAAGGGCCAUCGCUCAACGGAUAAAAGGUACUCCGGGGAUAACAGGCUGAUACCGCCCAAGAGUUCAUAUCGACGGCGGUGUUUGGCACCUCGAUGUCGGCUCAUCACAUCCUGGGGCUGAAGUCGGUCCCAAGGGUAUGGCUGUUCGCCAUUUAAAGUGGUACGCGAGCUGGGUUUAGAACGUCGUGAGACAGUUCGGUCCCUAUCUGCCGUGGGCGUUGGAAGAUUGAAGGGGGCUGCUCCUAGUACGAGAGGACCGGAGUGGACGAACCUCUGGUGUUCGGGUUGUGUCGCCAGACGCAUUGCCCGGUAGCUAAGUUCGGAAUCGAUAACCGCUGAAAGCAUCUAAGCGGGAAGCGAGCCCUGAGAUGAGUCUUCCCUGAUACUUUAAGUAUCCUAAAGGGUUGUCGGAGACUACGACGUUGAUAGGUCAGGUGUGUAAGUGCUGUGAGGCAUUGAGCUAACUGAUACUAAUUGCCCGUGAGGCUUAACCAU